AAGAUCAUAAAACUUAAGCUCUGAUCGUAAAACAAAGAUUAGAACUCCGAAGUUAAGCGUGCUUGGGCGAGAGCAGUACUAGGAUGGGUGACCCCCUGGGAAGUCCUCGUGUUGAUCA
Molecule: ribosomal RNA, 118 nt
Filed under: Zingiber officinale
Lineage: Eukaryota; Viridiplantae; Streptophyta; Magnoliopsida; Zingiberales; Zingiberaceae
Source: RNAcentral